RNAcentral lists this long non-coding RNA (840 nucleotides) under Zostera marina. RNAcentral describes it as "long non-coding RNA (ZMAR_LNC002205)". The record is from RNAcentral. Lineage: Eukaryota; Viridiplantae; Streptophyta; Magnoliopsida; Alismatales; Zosteraceae.
CAAUAUCUCCUGUGAUUAGGGAAAAUUGAAACUGAUAAGAAACUUCGAAAUCGAAACACUCGAACCCGGUGGGUGAAUCAGAGUGGCUCCGGUAGCCGGUAAGCUAUCUCUUUCUUCUUUUGUUUAGGUUUUUGUAUAGAUGAUAAGCAGAAUUACUGUAUAUUUAGGUUUAAGCUUUGACAAACGGAUUUCUCCUCCUUUCUGAUGAUGUUUCUGUUCGAGAGUAAACCUGCUAUAACUCCUCCGGCGAACAUUGGAAGAUCGGGAUAAGAGAAGACGAAGCAAGAAUCGGAAGAGGAAACACACUCACGAAUCACGAAUCACGAUCAUCUCCUAUCUCCUGUGAUGAGGGAAAACUGAAACUGAUAACAAACUUCGAAAUCGAAACAGUCGAGAUAAACGGCCCUUCGGUUUGGAUUUUGUCUUUUAGUCGGAUGAUCGAGGAUCGAUCAUAUCAAAAUCUGGUUCUACGGACGUAAUCUACGGUUGAUAUAAUUUGGACAUAAAGCUAGGGAUGAUAGCUAAUAAGCCUGAUAUAGGUAAUAUGGUUUAUAUAUAUCUACGGUUGUAAUUUGUAAAUAUGUUUCUGUAUUUUCUAUUUAAUUUACUUAUAAAUAAGUAGUCCUAUAAGGAUGUGACCUAUUAAUUUUGCUCUAUGCGGCUUUUCUACUAUCUUAAUUGAAUUUCAAUCCUCUCAAAUCUCAACUACCGUCGUCAAUACCACCACAAAACUAACGAACACCACCAUCUGCUUCCAAUCAUCCCAGAUAUUAAACUCUUUCUCAAAUCUCCUCGAUUGAUUCAUCCAUCCGCAUUUCGACAUGGAAUCGGCAAAGCACG